GUUCACUAGUUUUGUACUCACAAAUGUGGCCUCCACAUGUGGCUCUCACUAGGAUUACAUCACUCUUUCAGUAGGUAGGUAUUCCAGGAGUUGAAUAAAUUUUCAUGUAAAAGUUCAGAACUUGAAGUCUGUAUCUUUUGAAAAAUGUCACUGACAAAACAUUUCCAUAACCAAUCUUUGUAGUGGGUCCAGUGAGCUGUGAGGAGACGUUU
This 212-nucleotide unclassified non-coding RNA is filed under the name Hevea brasiliensis (rubber tree). The record is from RNAcentral. Lineage: Eukaryota; Viridiplantae; Streptophyta; Magnoliopsida; Malpighiales; Euphorbiaceae.